Molecule: long non-coding RNA, 3189 nt
Organism: Oncorhynchus tshawytscha (Chinook salmon)
Lineage: Eukaryota; Metazoa; Chordata; Actinopteri; Salmoniformes; Salmonidae
Source: Ensembl
UGUGGUAAUUUGUUUAUUUUUAGCGGUAGAGGGGGCCAUAAGAACUGUUUAUGUGUAAAACAUUUAUUUGCCAUUUAAGGCAGAAUGUCUUUCAUAAUAGCCAACAUUUUGAACACCAUAGGCUAUAACCUAUAAUAGUAUUGUAGAAAAUUCCCCCAUCAUGUUCAGGGAGAACAACCGUGAUACAUCUUAGUAGGAAGGGAGACCCUAGCCUAAUAUGUCAAGAUCUUCAAAUUAUAAACCUGUGAAUUAAUAAGGAUAUUCAUUGACCAUUACAGGCAUAUAGGCCUAAAAAAAGCCCAUUAUUAAUAAAACAAAGGCAAGUAUUUGUAUUGCUGACAGUCACACCCUUAUAUUUUGUCAAAGAAGAGGUCUUAGUGCUGUGGUUUAUGAUGAGGUUUCGGAUAAAGUGUAGGUUUCCAUUGGAGGAUAAGACAGGUGGUUUUGGGGAUGCGCCUUUUUGACCUGACGUCACUGGUGGGGGUAUAAAAUCCCUUAGAUUUGUCCUCCAGUCAUUCACUGUGAAAAAGCCAUCGACAGGACUAAGCGGCUGAGAAAGAAACCGACAACAAAAUGGCUAAAAUGUUGACGGCUUACAUUGGAUUCAUUCUCCUUGCCUUGCCUUGUUCAUCACAGUUCCUAUGACCGAAAGCAACUUUGGACAUCAGAACAACGAUCCCUAACCUCGAUUUGGAUGAAGAUUUCUAUUUCAGCGAGUCGGCAGCUGUGGACGUACUGCACAUUUCGGACCCUAAUCCCCGGGACUCAAAAGGGGAAGUGACGGUGCAAGAGCGGGCUCCCUGACGAGAAUACGCAGGUGAGAAAAUAAACCGCCUCUACCCUCCAUUCUGUUGGCGAACGUACAAUCACUGAGAACAAACAGGUCAAGCUCCGUUCGAGACUAUUAAUGGGACCUGAAGAAAUGUAAUGUCUUGUGUUUUUCAGAGUCGUGGCUGAGCAAGGACAUGGAUAAUAUAUUUCUAGUUGGUUUUAUAUGCAUCGUAAAAACCGAACGGCAGCUUUGUGUAAGGUUAAGUUAUGGGGGAGGUGUGUGUCGCUUAACAACAGCUAGUGCGUGAUCUCUAAUUUAAGGAAGUCUCAAGGUUUUGCUCGCCUGAGUUAGAAUACCUCAUGAUGAGCUGCAGACCAUACCAUCCCUAGGAGGGGUGCGCCACUUGAGUGGGUUGAGUCACUAAAGUGAUCUUCCUGUGAUCUUCCUUGGGUUCGUGCCGUGGGGGAGAUCUUCGUGGACUAUAUGAUAUUCGCGGAUAUCCCUCUAGUGGUGUGGGGGCUGUGCUUUGGCAAAGUUGGUAGGGUUAUAUCCUUCCUGUUUGGCCCUGUCCGGGGGUGUCCUCGAAUGGGGCCACAGUUUCUCCUGACCCCUCCUGUCUCAGCCUCCAGUAUUUAUGCUGCAGUAGUUUAUGUGUCAGGGGGCUAGGGUCAGUUUGUUAUAUCUGGAGUACUUCUCCUGUCCUAUUUGGUGUCCUGUGUGAAUUCUCUAAUUCUCUCCUUCUCUCUUUCUUUCUCUCUCUCGGAGGACCUGAGCCCUAAGACCAUGCCCCAGGACUACCUGACAUGAUGACUCCUUGCUGUCCCCAGUCCACCUGGCCGUGCUGCUGCUCCAGUUUCAACUGUUCUGCCUUAUUAUUAUUCGACCAUGCUGGUCAUUUAUGAACAUUUGAACAUCUUGGCCAUGUUCUGUUAAAAUCUCCACCCGGCACAGCCAGAAGAGGACUGGCCACCCCACAUAUGCUCUCUCUAAUUCUCUCUUUCUUUCUCUCUCUCGGAGGACCUGAGCCCUAGGACCAUGCCCCAGGACUACCUGACAUGAUGACUCCUUGCUGUCCCCAGUCCAUCUGACCGUGCUGCUGCUCCAGUUUCAACUGUUCUGCCUUAUUAUUAUACGAUCAUGCUGGUCAUUUAUGAACAUUUGAACAUCUUGGCCAUGUUCUGUUACAAUCUCCACCCGGCACAGCCAGAAGAGGACUGGCCACCCCACAUAGUCUGGUUCCUCUCUAGGUUUCUUCCUAUGUUUUGGCCUUUCUAGGGAGUUUUUCCUAGCCACCGUGCUUCUACACCUGCAUUGCUUGCUGUUUGGGGUUUUAGGCUGGGUUUCUGUACAGCACUUUGAGAUAUCAGCUGAUGUACGAAGGGCUAUAUAAAUACAUUUGAUUUGAUUUGAUAUCAGCUAUGUUUGUUUAAAGGCAGUAAAUGAGGCUAAAUGAACUAUUUUGCUGCCAGACAAGGCUCUGCUGAUAGCCAGGUGUAGCAAUGGUAAGGGGUUGGGAAUGCUGUUGGGACUAUGGUUGCCCUAACAGUUUGUGAGCAUUUGUGAACAUUUUAUUGCAAUACAGAGUGGGAAAUUGACUGUGCGUUUGGACAAUUAAUAGACACUGCAAAGUCUACAAAGAGAGUGCACAAUUUUGCUGGUUAUGAGGUUGGGAGAUAGCGAACCUAUCUAGCUGGCUAGAUAAAGUCAAAUUCAUGAAAUUGAUUAGGUGGAUAAGAUUGCAGAGAAACAACAAAACAUUUUGGUUUUAUUUUUUGAUUAAGAAGGAAUCAAUAGGCUACAUAACUUAAUCAAAUGAAUUUACAACAUACCUCCUGCGAGUCCUUGCCUGGUCCAGUCAGUGUGCCCACUCCACAAAAUACCACUGACAGAUGUUUUCUAUAAAUAAUUACAAUAGAAAUGAAGUUUAGUGAUUAAUUUAACAUCUGAAAAAUAAUAACAAAUUGACAAAUCUGAGGGGGCACAUACCCUUGUGCCCCAUAUGGGCAUGAUGCCACUGUCCACGCUAGCCACUGGGAGGAUGCUCUUGUGCAUCCUCUGCUGAAGUAGGUCAUUAAUGGGAGGAGGACACUCAUUUGUUCACCUACAAUCAUUGACACUAUCCUAGACCCCUCGACUACUUAGUGGUUUACGAGUUACGGAGGAGAGGAGGACGGAGGAGUCAAGGAGAGAAUGGCAUAGCUGCGGGAAGAUGUUUUGAGUAGGGCGUGCUGACUGAAAAAAAAAAAUCACCUUUAUAAUAAAGUUACUACUUUUCCAAUAUUUCUCUAUUUUCUUUCUCUGCAUUGUUGGGAAUGGCCCGUAAGUUAGCAUUUCACUGUUAGUUUACACCUGUUGUUUACGAAGCAUGUGAUGAAUAAAAUUGGAUUUGAUUUCAACUCCAUCUCCACCACAGCACC